UACAUAAAAUUUUAAUCAUACACAUUCAAUUUUACUUAUAUUUUAACUAUCUAUUUCAUCAUAAUAAACUAUUUUGUUAUUUAUAACAUAAAAACUACAUUCGGACACUCUGUGGAAACGACAUCCCGUUUGUAUCCUCUAACAAUGUCGGACUUACAACUGUUGGACAAACAUCAAAUAAAUAUAAACCGAGCAGUAAUUAAAACGCAUAGUUUGCUAAUCCAUUUACUAUGCGAUUAGCUUUACUAUACACAUGAGUAACUCGGACUAUGCAGUCCCUAUACACUCCAUCUUAUUAAUGAUAUUUGAAUUUUAAAUAGUAACGUAACUCUCAUACUUUUUCAGUAUGUAAUUUAGUAUUUCUUUAAACCAAAUUUUAAUCUUACAAAUUCGAUUUUGCAAUACAAUUUAAAUACCUAUUUUACCAUAAUAAAAU
RNAcentral lists this small RNA (436 nucleotides) under Arabidopsis thaliana (thale cress). RNAcentral describes it as "ATSL142710". The record is from RNAcentral. Lineage: Eukaryota; Viridiplantae; Streptophyta; Magnoliopsida; Brassicales; Brassicaceae.